AGAGUUGAUCAUGGCUCAGAACGAACGCUGGCGGCGUGUCUUAAGCAUGCAAGCCGUGCGGCAAGGGUAGCAAUACCCCUAGAGCGGCGGACUGGUGAGUAACGCGUGGGUGAUCUGCCCUGGGUUGGGGAUAGCCACUAGAAAUAGUGGGUAAUACCGAAUACGUUCCUUCGGCUUUGGCUGGAGGAGGAAAAGCGCUUCGGCGCUGCCCGAGGAUGAGCCCGCGUCCCAUUAGCUAGUUGGUGAGGUAAAGGCCCACCAAGGCGAUGAUGGGUAGGCGGCCUGAGAGGGUGUACGCCCACACUGGGACUGAGAUACGGCCCAGACUCCUACGGGAGGCAGCAGCUAAGAAUAUUCCGCAAUGGACGAAAGUCUGACGGAGCGACGCCGCGUGGAUGAAGAAGGCCGAAAGGUUGUAAAGUCCUUUUGUUGGGGGAAGAAUAAGCGUGGGAGGGAAUGCCCGCGUGAUGACAUGAACCGACGAAUAAGCCCCGGCUAACUACGUGCCAGCAGCAGC
Molecule: ribosomal RNA, 517 nt
Filed under: uncultured bacterium
Lineage: Bacteria
Description: bacterial SSU rRNA
Rfam family: Bacterial small subunit ribosomal RNA
Source: RNAcentral